Molecule: ribosomal RNA, 497 nt
Filed under: uncultured bacterium
Lineage: Bacteria
Description: partial 16S ribosomal RNA
Rfam family: Bacterial small subunit ribosomal RNA
Source: RNAcentral
GACGAACGCUGGCGGCGUGCCUAAUACAUGCAAGUAGAACGCUGAAGAGAGGAGCUUACUCUUCUUGGAUGAGUUGCGAACGGGUGAGUAACGCGUAGGUAACCUGCCUUGUAGCGGGGGAUAACUAUUGGAAACGAUAGCUAAUACCGCAUAACAAUGGAUGACACAUGUCAUUUAUUUGAAAGGGGCAAUUGCUCCACUACAAGAUGGACCUGCGUUGUAUUAGCUAGUAGGUGAGGUAAUGGCUCACCUAGGCGACGAUACAUAGCCGACCUGAGAGGGUGAUCGGCCACACUGGGACUGAGACACGGCCCAGACUCCUACGGGAGGCAGCAGUAGGGAAUCUUCGGCAAUGGGGGCAACCCUGACCGAGCAACGCCGCGUGAGUGAGGAAGGUUGUCGGAUCGUAAAGCUCUGUUGUAAGUCAAGAACGGGUGUGAGAGUGGAAAGUUCACACUGUGACGGUAGCUUACCAGAAAGGGACGGCUAACUACGUG